CAGCCGCCGCGGGAAUACGAAGGGUGCAAGCGUUACUCGGAAUUACUGGGCGUAAAGCGUGCGUAGGUGGUUAUAUAAGACAGAUGUGAAAUCCCCGGGCUCAACCUGGGAACUGCAUUUGUGACUGUAUAGCUAGAGUACGGCAGAGGGGGAUGGAAUUCCGCGUGUAGCAGUGAAAUGCGUAGAUAUGCGGAGGAACACCGAUGGCGAAGGCAAUCCCCUGGGCCUGUACUGACGCUCAUGCACGAAAGCGUGGGGAGCAAACAGGAUUAGAUACCCCUGUAGUCCCUGUCUCUUAUAA
This 301-nucleotide ribosomal RNA is filed under the name uncultured bacterium. Its description in RNAcentral is "partial 16S ribosomal RNA". It matches the Rfam family "Bacterial small subunit ribosomal RNA", at positions 509 to 809 of the family's 1533-position model. The record is from RNAcentral.